RNAcentral lists this ribosomal RNA (402 nucleotides) under uncultured bacterium. Its description in RNAcentral is "bacterial SSU rRNA". It matches the Rfam family "Bacterial small subunit ribosomal RNA", at positions 354 to 749 of the family's 1533-position model. The record is from RNAcentral.
UUUUCGAAUCAUUCACAAUGGGCGAAAGCCUGAUGGUGCGACGCCGCGUGAGGGAUGAAGGUCUUCGGAUUGUAAACCUCUGUCACUGGGGAAGAAACGCUUUGAGUUAAUAGUUCAAAGCCUGACUUAACCCGGAGAGGAAGCAGUGGCUAACUCUGUGCCAGCAGCCGCGGUAAUACAGAGACUGCAAGCGUUAUUCGGAUUCACUGGGCGUAAAGGGUGCGCAGGCGGCCGUGUGUGUGAGGUGUGAAAUCCCGGAGCUUAACUCCGGAACUGCGCCUCAAACUACACGGCUAGAGCAUUGGAGAGGGAAGUGGAAUUCACGGUGUAGCAGUGAAAUGCGUAGAUAUCGUGAGGAACACCAGUGGCGAAGGCGACUUCCUGGACAAUUGCUGACGCUCA